Molecule: ribosomal RNA, 490 nt
Filed under: uncultured bacterium
Lineage: Bacteria
Description: partial 16S ribosomal RNA
Rfam family: Bacterial small subunit ribosomal RNA
Source: RNAcentral
AUUGAACGCUGGCGGCAGGCCUAACACAUGCAAGUCGAACGGUAACAGGAAGCAGCUUGCUGCUUUGCUGACGAGUGGCGGACGGGUGAGUAAUGUCUGGGAAACUGCCUGAUUGAGGGGGAUAACUACUGGAAACGGUAGCUAAUACCUCAUAACGUCGCAAGGCCAAAGAGGGGGACCUUCGGGCCUCUUGCCAUCGGAUGUGCCCAGAUGGGAUUAGCUAGUAGGUGGGGUAACGGCUCACCUAGGCGACGAUCCCUAGCUGGUCUGAGAGGAUGACCAGCCACACUGGAACUGAGACACGGUCCAGACUCCUACGGGAGGCAGCAGUGGGGAAUAUUGCACAAUGGGCGCAAGCCUGAUGCAGCCAUGCCGCGUGUAUGAAGAAGGCCUUCGGGUUGUAAAGUACUUUCAGCGGGGAGGAAGGGAGUAAAGUUAAUACCUUUGCUGAUUGACGUUACCCGCAGAAGAAGCACCGGCUAACUCCGUG